This 361-nucleotide transfer-messenger RNA is filed under the name Myxococcales bacterium. It matches the Rfam family "transfer-messenger RNA". From Rfam's summary of the family: Bacterial tmRNA, also known as 10Sa RNA or SsrA, is named for its dual tRNA and mRNA-like properties. Its role is to liberate the mRNA from a stalled ribosome. Lineage: Bacteria; Pseudomonadati; Myxococcota; Myxococcia; Myxococcales. The record is from RNAcentral.
GGGGGCGACAGGCUUCGACGGGGACGGAGAAGCAUCGGUUGCGUGUCCGCCGGCCCAAGACGGCGUAAAUACCUUGGGAACGAUAAGUGCGAACGAUAACGCGCUUGCUCUCGCGGCCUGAAUAAAGCCAAGGGAGUCGUUGAAGUGGGGAGCUUGUCGGUGCUCGCCAUGGAGACGUCAUUUGAACCGACUGGCUCGUGCGCAUCGCCAUCCGGCGCGUGAGUAAGACAAAGGAAGGCUAGCGAUGAGGCGAGCCUGCUCGUGGGCGCAACUCUUCGCGAAGCUAAAAUCACGAGCUACGCACGUAGACGCCGCUGUGGACCUUUCUCGGACGCGGGUUCGAUUCCCGCCGCCUCCACCU